RNAcentral lists this ribosomal RNA (464 nucleotides) under uncultured bacterium. RNAcentral describes it as "partial 16S ribosomal RNA". It matches the Rfam family "Bacterial small subunit ribosomal RNA", at positions 28 to 507 of the family's 1533-position model. The record is from RNAcentral.
GACGAACGCUGGCGGCGUGCUUAACACAUGCAGUCGCACGGAAAGGCCCUGCUUGCAGGGUACUCGAGUGGCGAACGGGUGAGUAACACGGGGGUGAUCUGCCCUGCACUUCGGGAUAAGCCUGGGGAACUGGGUCUAAUACCGGAUAGGAGCCAUUUUUAGUGUGAUGGUUGGAAAGUUUUUUCGGUGUAGGAUGAGCUCGCGGCCUAUCAGCUUGUUGGUGGGGUAAUGGCCUACCAAGGCGGCGACGGGUAGCCGGCCUGAGAGGGUGGACGGCCACAUUGGGACUGAGAUACGGCCCAGACUCCUACGGGAGGCAGCAGUGGGGAAUAUUGCACAAUGGGCGCAAGCCUGAUGCAGCGACGCCGCGUGGGGGAUGACGGCCUUCGGGUUGUAAACUCCUUUCGCUAGGGACGAAGCUUUUUGUGACGGUACCUAGAUAAGAAGCACCGGCUAACUACGUG